This 75-nucleotide transfer RNA is filed under the name Candidatus Pacearchaeota archaeon. Its description in RNAcentral is "tRNA-Ile". It matches the Rfam family "tRNA". From Rfam's summary of the family: Transfer RNA (tRNA) molecules are approximately 80 nucleotides in length. Their secondary structure includes four short double-helical elements and three loops (D, anti-codon, and T loops). Further hydrogen bonds mediate the characteristic L-shaped molecular structure. tRNAs have two regions of fundamental functional importance: the anti-codon, which is responsible for specific mRNA codon recognition, and the 3' end, to which the tRNAs corresponding amino acid is attached (by aminoacyl-tRNA synthetases). tRNAs cope with the degeneracy of the genetic code in two manners: having more than one tRNA (with a specific anti-codon) for a particular amino acid; and 'wobble' base-pairing, i.e. permitting non-standard base-pairing at the 3rd anti-codon position. Lineage: Archaea; Nanobdellati. The record is from RNAcentral.
GAUCCCGUAGCUUAGCCUGGUCAGAGCGCCGGUCUUAUAAGCCGGAGGUCGGGAGUUCAAAUCUCCCCGGGAUCA